GUCGGGCGGCAGCGGGUCCUUCGGGAUGCCGGCGAGCGGCGAACGGGUGAGUAAUGUAUCGGAACGUACCCAUUAGUGGGGGAUAACUACGCGAAAGCGUGGCUAAUACCGCGUACGCCCCUUUGGCGACAUUGGGGGAAAGCAGGGGACCUUUCGGGGCCUUGCGCUAUUGGAGCGGCCGAUAUCGGAUUAGUUUGUUGGUGGGGUAAUGGCCUACCAAGGCGAUGAUCCGUAGCUGGUUUGAGAGGACGACCAGCCACACUGGGACUGAGACACGGCCCAGACUCCUACGGGAGGCAGCAGUGGGGAAUUUUGGACAAUGGGGGCAACCCUGAUCCAGCCAUUUCGCGUGUGCGAUGAAGGCCUUCGGGUUGUAAAGCACUUUUGGCGGGGAAGAAACGGCGGUCUCUAACAUAGACUGUUACUGACGGUACCCGCAGAAUAAGCACCGGCUAACUACGUGCCAGCAGCCGCGGUAAUACGUAGGGUGCGAGCGUUAAUCGGAAUUACUGGGCGUAAAGGGUGCGCAGGCGGUUUGUCAAGAAAGGUGUGAAAUCCCCGUGCUCAACAUGGGAACUGCACUUUUAACUGACAGGCUAGAGUGUGUCAGA
RNAcentral lists this ribosomal RNA (611 nucleotides) under uncultured Burkholderiales bacterium. RNAcentral's name for it is "bacterial SSU rRNA". It matches the Rfam family "Bacterial small subunit ribosomal RNA", at positions 61 to 655 of the family's 1533-position model. The record is from RNAcentral. Lineage: Bacteria; Pseudomonadati; Pseudomonadota; Betaproteobacteria; Burkholderiales.